UCCUACGGGAGGCAGCAGUGGGGAAUUUUGGACAAUGGGGGCAACCUUGAUCCAGCAAUGCCGCGUGAGUGAAGAAGGCCUUCGGGUUGUAAAGCUCUUUUGUCAGGGAAGAAACGGUGAGAGCUAAUAUCUCUUGCUAAUGACGGUACCUGAAGAAUAAGCACCGGCUAACUACGUGCCAGCAGCCGCGGUAAUACGAGGGGAGCAAGCGUUGUUCGGAAUCACUGGGCGUAAAGGGCGUGUAGGCGGUUCGGUAAGUGGGAUGUGAAAUGCCCGGGCUCACCCCGGGACCUGCAUCCCAUACUGCUGAGCUUGAGUACAGGAGAGGGUGGGGGAAUUCCUGGUGUAGCGGUGAAAUGCGUAGAUAUCAGGAGGAACACCGGUGGCGAAGGCGCCCACCUGGCCUGCUACUGACGCUGAUGCGCGAAAGCUAGGGGAGCAAACGGGAUUAGAUACCCCGGUAGUCCUAGCCGUAAACGGUGAUCACUAGGUGUUGGGAGCAUCGACCCUUCCAGUGCCGCAGCUAACGCAUUAAGUGAUCCGCCUGGGGAGUACGGCCGCAAGGUUGAAACUCAAAGGAAUUGACGGGGGCCCGCACAAGCGGUGGAGCAUGUGGUUCAAUUCGACGCAACGCGAAGAACCUUACCCAGACUUGACAUGCACUGGACUGGUGUGGAAACACAUCUUCCCUUCGGGGCCAGUGCACAGGUGCUGCAUGGCUGUCGUCAGCUCGUGUCGUGAGAUGUUGGGUUAAGUCCCGCAACGAGCGCAACCCUUGUCCUUAGUUGCUAACGAGUCAAGUCGAGCACUCUAAGGAGACUGCCGGUGGCAAACCGGAGGAAGGUGGGGAUGACGUCAAGUCCUCAUGGCCCUUACGUCUGGGGCUACACACGUGCUACAAUGGCCGGUACAAAGGGCUGCGAUACCGCGAGGUGGAGCCAAUCCCAAAAAACCGGUCUCAGUUCGGAUUGCAGUCUGCAACUCGACUGCAUGAAGUCGGAAUCGCUAGUAAUCGCUGAUCAGCAGGCAGCGGUGAAUACGUUCCCGGGCCUUGUACACACC
This 1062-nucleotide ribosomal RNA is filed under the name uncultured Azotobacter sp. Its description in RNAcentral is "bacterial SSU rRNA". It matches the Rfam family "Bacterial small subunit ribosomal RNA", at positions 337 to 1391 of the family's 1533-position model. Lineage: Bacteria; Pseudomonadati; Pseudomonadota; Gammaproteobacteria; Pseudomonadales; Pseudomonadaceae. The record is from RNAcentral.